UCUGGUUGAUCCCGCCGGAGGCCACUGCUAUCGGGGUCCGAUUAAGCCAUGCGAGUCGAGAGGGGUAAAGCCCUCGGCGAACGGCUCAGUAACACGUGGAUAACCUACCCUCAGAUCUGGGAUAACUCCGGGAAACUGGAGAUAAUACCGGAUAAUCCGUGAACGCUGGAAUGCCUUACGGUUGAAAGCUUUAGCGUCUGAGGAUGGGUCUGCGGCCGAUUAGGUAGUUGCUGGGGUAACGUCCCAACAAGCCGAUAAUCGGUACGAGUUGUGAGAGCAAGAGCCCGGAGAUGGAUUCUGAGACACGAAUCCAGGUCCUACGGGGCGCAGCAGGCGCGAAAACUUUACACUGCGCGAAAGCGCGAUAAGGGGACCUCUAGUGCGUGCGCAAUGCGUACGCUUUUCAGAUGCCUAAAAAGCAUCUGGAAUAAGGGCCGGGCAAGACCGGUGCCAGCCGCCGCGGUAACACCGGCGGCUCAAGUGGUGGCCGCUAUUAUUGGGCUUAAAGGGUCCGUAGCCGGACCAGUUAGUCCCUUGGGAAAUCUUACGGCUUAACCGUAAGGCUGCCAAUGGAUACUGCUGGGUCUUGGGACCGGGGAGAGGCAAGAGGUUACCUCAGGGGUAGGAGUGAAAUCCUGUUAUCCCUUG
RNAcentral lists this ribosomal RNA (648 nucleotides) under uncultured archaeon. Its description in RNAcentral is "bacterial SSU rRNA". It matches the Rfam family "Archaeal small subunit ribosomal RNA", at positions 1 to 652 of the family's 1478-position model. The record is from RNAcentral.